CGGUAUACUAGCAGUACAGCUUACUGGAAAUGGCAACAGAAUAUAAAAAGAAAGUCAGUAUUUAGCUAAAUGCCCACAUACAUUAAAUACAGAAAUCAUAUAUUUCUAAGGUAAAGGUAUUUCAAACUACUGUGGUAGUUUAUCAAUCUCUGAACCGCCAAUGCAAUGCUGACGGUAAAGUUGUAGAGUCCAUUUACUCCUCCCCCUCCCUUGCUGAAAUAAUGUUAUGACCCAUUGAAUGCUCCUUUACUGUUUGAAAGCAGGGGGUGACCUGACAUUUUUAGCAAACUUGCAG
This is a non-coding RNA of Pelobates cultripes (western spadefoot toad), 295 nucleotides long. The record is from the annotation of a GenBank genome assembly. Lineage: Eukaryota; Metazoa; Chordata; Amphibia; Anura; Pelobatidae.